CCUCCGAAAUCAUGAGCAUUCCAUUGUUCUCAAGAACGAAGCUAAUCCAGUCAAUGUGAGGCCCUAUCGCUACCCCCAAAUUCAGAAAAAUGAAAUUGAACGACUGAUCAAGGAGAUGCUAGCAGCUGGAAUAAUUAAAGGAGAUCCUAUCAUAAAGCAACGGUUCCACACAAAUAUCCUAUUCCCACCAUUGACGAAUUGCAUGGAGCCCAAGUUUUUUCAAAGCUCGACCAAAAAUCCAGAUACCAUCAGAUCUGAGUUAGAGCAGAAGAUGUGCCAAAACUGCCUUCCAGAAACAUGACGGACGCUACAAAUUUUUAGUGAUGCCAUUUGGCCUCACAAAUGCUCCAUCCCCCUUUCAGACUUUGAUGAACGAUAUAAUCAGGCCACAUUUAAGAAAAUUCAUCUUAGUUUUCUUUGAUGAUAUUCUCAUUUACAGCAAAGAUGAAACCACUCAUAGAGCUCAUUUUUCCAUUACUUUAUAGCUAUUACAACAGCAUUGUUUAUCGCUAACUUGAAGAAAUGUGAGUUUGGACAAAAGAAGAUUGCUUACUUGGGCCAUUGGAAAUCCAAAGGAGGUGUGGUGGCUGAUCCCAGUAAAAUAACAGCCAUGGUGGAAUGGCCUCGACCUUGGUCGCUCAAGGAAUUGAGAGGAUUUUUGGGUCUCACAGGUUACUAUAGCAAAAUUUGUGGUCGGGUACGUAAGAAUAGCUCACCCAUUGACUGAACAAUUGAAGAAAGAUAAUUAUGGAUGGAAUGAAGAAGCAGAAACAACCUUUCAACAAUUGAAAGAAAUCAUGACCAAGGUGCCUAUCCUCGCUUUACUAGAUUUUUCCAAAAAAUUUGUGGUAGAAAUGGAUGCUUCAGGUUUCAGGUUAGGAGCUGUCUUAUCUUAAGGAACACACCCUAUUGCCUUUUUCAGCCAUACAUUAGGUUCUAGCGGCAAAGUCAAGUCUAUAUACGAGAAAGAGCUCAUGGCCAUAGUCUUUGCGGUGAACAAAUGGAGACCCUACUUAGAAAAAAAAAUUAUAGUGCGAUCAAACCAACAACGCCUAAAAUUCUUGCCGGAACGAGUAGUGGGUGAAUAAUAUCAAAGAUGGAUCACAAAACUCAUGGGGUAUAAAUUUUACAUUGAAUAUAGAAGUGGAGCAAGUAAUAAGGCAGUUGAUGCUCUAUCUAGAAAGCCUUGUUUUCACUCAUGGGACCCCAAUGGGAAAAUUGGGACCAACUCCAAAAAGACAUUGAUCAAGACCCAUUUUUAUGGGACUUAAAGACGGGAUUGAAGUUGACAGACAACAACAUCUUGGGUUCACAGUGGUAGAGGGCUAUCUCUAUUACAAAGGUCGUUUAGUUAUUCCUAAAGACUCCAAACUCAUUCAACCAUUACUGGAAGCAUUUCAUAACUCACCUAUUGGAGGACAUUCAGGUGAAGAUAAAACUUAUCAGCAACUGAAAUCCGAAGAAUUUUGGAUAGGAAUGCGCAAAGAUAUUUCUCAAUACAUUCAACAAUGCCCCAAGUGCCAGCAACACAAGUAUAUGGCCACAACACCUGCUGGUUUACUGCAACUAAUAGCUUUACCAGCCUAUGUUUGGGAUGAAAUCUCUUAUGGAUUUCAUUGAAGGCCUACCUAAAUCUGACAGCUGGAUACUAUCUUUGUAGUAAUUGAAAAACUCAGCAAAUAUGCCCAUUUUGUCGCCCUCAAACAUCCUUUUACAGCAGCAACUGUGGCUCAAAUGUUUGUUAGAGAAGUAGUGCGGCUCCAUGGUAUUCCCCAAUCCAUCAUUUUUGAUAGAGAUAAGAUUUUUUUCAGUCAAUUUUGGGAUGAGUUAUUCAAAUUACAGGGACACUACGUUGAAGAAAAGCAUAGCUUAUCACCCCCCAAACUGAUGGCCAAACUGAAGUGGUUAACAGGUGCCUUGAAACAUAUCUUCGAUGCUUUUCUUUGGACAAACCACGACAAUGGUCUCGCUGGCUGCCUUGGGCAGAAUACUGGUAUAAUACAUCAGUCCACUCAGCCACUGAAUGUUCCCCAUUCAAGGCACUCUAUGGACGUGAGCCUCCUCCCAUCUUACAUUAAAAAAAAAGUACUUCAUCACUGUCAGCCGUAGACACUACACUAGCAGAUCAGGAUGAAAUCUUAGAUGAACUCAGAAUGCAUUUACUUAAAGCCCAACAACGUAUGAAGCUACAAGCCGACUCCAAGCGCCACCGUGAAGAAUUUGACAUUGGGGACCAUGUUUUUCUCAAACUACGACUUUAUCGACAAAAUAGUUUAGUGCAACACAAGUCUGAAAAGUUGUUGCCACGCUACUAUGGGCCCUAUCGUGUGGUGGCUCAAAUUGGGAGAGUUGCUUAUAAGCUGGAGCUACCUGAUUCAGCAACCAUCCACCCCUGUUUUUCAUGUUUCUCAGUUGCGAAGAGCUCAAGGGAUGACUAAUUCUUCCACUACCAUACCAAAACAACUCAACCCAAACAUGGAACUUGAGGUCGAACCUGAAAAACUCCUAAAGAUGCGAAACAAGAAGAAUGAGCAAGCUGGAGAUUUAGAGGUGUUGAUAAAAUGGAAAUCCAUGUCUGAAUUCGAAUCUACUUGGGAGGACUACAAUAAAAUACAAGAGCAAUUUCCGGAUUUUCAUCUCGAGGACAAGGUGAAUCUUUGGAUCCGGGGUAAUGUUAGACCAGCCAUACGUCUAACAUACUCUAGGCACUAGAAAGGAUAAUGUAGAUAUAAUGUUUUCAUUAAUUAAAUGUCCUACUCAGCAAGUUGUAAUUUUCUUAGUGCCUGUCUAUUUUGUUUAGUUAUCCUAGUCAGCCUUAUUACUAAUUUUAGUUGGCUGGGAUUGCUUAUAAAUAGAGUAAAUCUCUAGUUUAGGGAUAUGAGAUUAAUUGAAUUGUACUUUGUAGAGUGAAAAAACCUCUUGUGGAGUUUAACCAAGUGACUCGAAGACUUGGUACACAAAUUGUAUUCUUGCUCUUGUUGUCAAUAAAGGUUCAUUCUAA
Long non-coding RNA from Humulus lupulus (European hop), 3001 nucleotides. RefSeq lists it as uncharacterized. NCBI's taxonomy places the organism in Eukaryota, Viridiplantae, Streptophyta, Magnoliopsida, Rosales, Cannabaceae. The record is from RefSeq and is a predicted model, not a curated record. The transcript has 2 exons.